ACAGUGAAAAAAUUGAAGAUCUUUCUUCAGAGAAGUUAUGCUAGAAAUACUUUCAUAAUCCAUGCUGUUUCCUGUCUUAUGCCUGACAUGCACUAUGAGUAAUUUUGGAAAUUCUUCUGCACCAAUGACAGAGACAACAUGAACACAGUCUCUGCUACCUCAAAUUCUGCAGUCCGGUUUCGCAUGUCUUGGUAAAUCUGCAGGGUCAGCAUGCCCAAGGUGCAAGAAGUGGAUGGGAAAACCCAACUGCCUCUUUCCUUUUGCCAGCAUGCUUUGGAAACAGUGCUCUGCCAAUCCUCCCAAGCGACUUCAAUUACGCGCUACCAGAGAAACAGGAUCAUUUGGACAGGUGAACCCUGGCACGGCACCAACGUCCUCUUCAUUGCAAGCAAUAAAAACUCAUAUGGGAACACCCGCAGCUCUGUGGCUGUUUGACAUGCCCAGCGCAACCUCUGCUCCGUGCCGGCAGCAGCCAUGCAGCAGUGCUGCGUAUCGGCUACCAUGAUCCCCCCCUGCCAAACCACAGAGGUCGCGCGUUCACAGCAGCUGGGAGACAGCGGUGUUGCUGAGUAUUGGAUGUGAAGAUAACGGUGUUGCCUAGGAGUUACUGAAGGAGCAAUGAGGAGAUAAUGGAAUCAUACAAGUGCUUUUGGAAAUAAAUGGCCCCACAGAAUAUUACUGUUGGUGAGAAUGCAAUAGCGGGAAAGAACAAGCUCAGCUAUUGAGACUGUUUGCAGAAAACACACGGAGAAGAAAUGCUGUGUUUUUGUCCUUGAGCGUUAAGCAAGCUCAUGGGCAAAUGAGGGAAAGACAAUAAGCGCAAAGCUCCUGCCUGCCCCUUUUACUUUCAUUUUGAGAAGAAACUUCAGUAACGAAUCUUGAAGAAAUGAAUCACCUUUUCUCCCAUUGCCCUCCCCAGAGCUCUCAGCUGCCAGCUUGGCAGGAACUUUCUGGUGGAGAAACAGCCCCUGGAGUGGGGGGAGGCCCAGAGGAGAGAAAGGUGCCAACACAGCGGAAGACGAAACCAUUCGAAGAAGGACAGAGAAGUAAAGAGCUCCGACCAAGUCUGUGCCUGACGUUAGCCGAGUGUGGGUCGCUGCCCUGUGCCAGCAGUGCAUUUCCUUCGUACUUCCACAAGAGAAGGACCACUCCCCACUUGCUGACCACAAACUCCAGCACUGGUACCCUGAGUUUUUAAGAGACCCUUUAUUUUUCACAGAAUGAUAGAGCACAUAAACACCUCAGUGAAUAGCACGUGUCUGCACAUGGAAGACACUUUGUACACACCUGGUUUCAAUAAAGUUCAGUCCAUAUAGCAGAUUAAUAACUGUAACUGGAUAAUGUAAUUUUUAAUGGGCUAGGCACUUCCUACUACCACUUCUCCUUUCUUCCCCUCUUCUUGCCAGCACUCAAUAAAUGGAUAUUAUUUCCCAACUGA
This is a long non-coding RNA of Aquila chrysaetos chrysaetos, 1438 nucleotides long. RefSeq lists it as uncharacterized. The transcript has 5 exons. NCBI's taxonomy places the organism in Eukaryota, Metazoa, Chordata, Aves, Accipitriformes, Accipitridae. The record is from RefSeq and is a predicted model, not a curated record.